CUUCGAUUUUGAACAUUGAAGUCAAGUGUAUAGUAAUUAUUGAGUUUGCAAAUUACAACAAAAGUUUCUAUUUUCACAAAAAAACUGUACUCUGUCUAAUACAAUAUCAGAUAUCGGGUAGAAAAUAAAAAAAAGAAGAAGAGAAAAGACAUAAAUUCAUCCUUGAAGUUGUAUCAAAAAGUCAGUUACACGCUUAAACUAUUGAGGCGACCUAUUACACACUUAUACUACUCAAAAGUGAAUUUAAUACCAC
This 253-nucleotide long non-coding RNA is filed under the name Solanum tuberosum (potato). RNAcentral describes it as "long non-coding RNA (STUB_LNC010180)". Lineage: Eukaryota; Viridiplantae; Streptophyta; Magnoliopsida; Solanales; Solanaceae. The record is from RNAcentral.